GAUGAACGCUGGCGGCGUGCCUAAUACAUGCAAGUCGAGCGAACGGACGAGAAGCUUGCUUCUCUGAUCUUAGCGGCGGACGGGUGAGUAACACGUGGAUAACCUACCUAUAAGACUGGGAUAACUUCGGGAAACCGGAGCUAAUACCGGAUGAUCUUUUGAACCGCAUGGUUCAAAAGUGAAAGACGGUCUUGCUUUCACUUAUAGAUGGAUCCGCGCUGCAUUAGCUAGUUGGUAAGGUAACGGCUUACCAAGGCAACGAUGCAUAGCCGACCGGAGAGGGUGAUCGGCCACACUGGAACUGGGACACGGUCCAGACUCCGACGGGAGGCAGCAGUAGGGAAUCUUCCGCAAUGGGCGAAAGCCUGACGGAGCAACGUCGCGUGAGUGAUGAAGGUCUUCGGAUCGUAAAACUCUGUUAUUAGGGAAGAACAUAUGUGUAAGUAACUGUGCACAUCUUGACGGUACCUAAUCAGAAGGCCACGGGUAACUACGUG
This 497-nucleotide ribosomal RNA is filed under the name uncultured bacterium. RNAcentral's name for it is "partial 16S ribosomal RNA". It matches the Rfam family "Bacterial small subunit ribosomal RNA", at positions 28 to 507 of the family's 1533-position model. The record is from RNAcentral.